AUACGAAGGGUGCAAGCGUUAAUCGGAAUUACUGGGCGUAAAGCGCGCGUAGGUGGCUCGUUAAGUUGGAUGUGAAAGCCCCGGGCUCAACCUGGGAACUGCAUCCAAAACUGGCGAGCUAGAGUAUAGCAGAGGGUGGUGGAAUUUCCUGUGUAGCGGUGAAAUGCGUAGAUAUAGGAAGGAACACCAGUGGCGAAGGCGACCACCUGGGCUAAUACUGACACUGAGGUGCGAAAGCGUGAGGAGCAAACAGGAUUAGAUACCCUGGUAGUCCACGCCGUAAACGAUGUCGACUAGCCGUUGGGAUCCUUGAGAUCUUAGUGGCGCAGCUAACGCAUUAAGUCGACCGCCUGGGGAGUACGGCCGCAAGGUUAAAACUCAAAUGAAUUGGCGGGG
Molecule: ribosomal RNA, 396 nt
Filed under: uncultured bacterium
Lineage: Bacteria
Description: partial 16S ribosomal RNA
Rfam family: Bacterial small subunit ribosomal RNA
Source: RNAcentral